UACGUAGGGUGCGAGCGUUAAUCGGAAUUACUGGGCGUAAAGCGCGCGUAGGUGGUUCGUUAAGUUGGAUGUGAAAGCCCCGGGCUCAACCUGGGAACUGCAUUCAAAACUGACGAGCUAGAGUAUGGUAGAGGGUGGUGGAAUUUCCUGUGUAGCGGUGAAAUGCGUAGAUAUAGGAAGGAACACCAGUGGCGAAGGCGACCACCUGGACUGAUACUGACACUGAGGUGCGAAAGCGUGGGGAGCAAACAGG
RNAcentral lists this ribosomal RNA (253 nucleotides) under uncultured bacterium. Its description in RNAcentral is "partial 16S ribosomal RNA". It matches the Rfam family "Bacterial small subunit ribosomal RNA", at positions 524 to 776 of the family's 1533-position model. The record is from RNAcentral.